RNAcentral lists this ribosomal RNA (498 nucleotides) under uncultured soil bacterium. RNAcentral's name for it is "bacterial SSU rRNA". It matches the Rfam family "Bacterial small subunit ribosomal RNA", at positions 26 to 520 of the family's 1533-position model. The record is from RNAcentral.
AGAUUGAACGCUGGCGGCAGGCCUAACACAUGCAAGUCGAGCGGUAGAGAGGUGCUUGCAUCUCUUGAGAGCGGCGGACGGGUGAGUAAUGCCUAGGAAUCUGCCUAGUGGUGGGGGAUAACGUUCGGAAACGGACGCUAAUACCGCAUACGUCCUACGGGAGAAAGCGGGGGACCUUCGGGCCUCGCGCCAUUAGAUGAGCCUAGGUCGGAUUAGCUAGUUGGUGAGGUAAUGGCUCACCAAGGCGACGAUCCGUAACUGGUCUGAGAGGAUGAUCAGUCACACUGGAACUGAGACACGGUCCAGACUCCUACGGGAGGCAGCAGUGGGGAAUAUUGGACAAUGGGCGAAAGCCUGAUCCAGCCAUGCCGCGUGUGUGAAGAAGGUCUUCGGAUUGUAAAGCACUUUAAGUUGGAGGAAGGUUGUAACCUAAUACGUUGCAACUUUGACGUUACCGACAGAAUAAGCACCGGCUAACUUCGUGCCAGCAGCCGACGG